Molecule: ribosomal RNA, 253 nt
Filed under: uncultured bacterium
Lineage: Bacteria
Description: partial 16S ribosomal RNA
Rfam family: Bacterial small subunit ribosomal RNA
Source: RNAcentral
UACGUAGGGUGCGAGCGUUAAUCGGAAUUACUGGGCGUAAAGCGUGCGCAGGCGGUUUUGUAAGCCAGAUGUGAAAUCCCCGGGCUUAACCUGGGAAUGGCAUUUGGGACUGCAAGGCUCGAGUGCGGCAGAGGAGACUGGAAUUCCUGGUGUAGCAGUGAAAUGCGUAGAUAUCUGGAGGAACACCGAUGGCGAAGGCAGGUCUCUGGGCUGACACUGACGCUCAUGCACGAAAGCGUGGGGAGCAAACAGG